Molecule: non-coding RNA, 271 nt
Organism: Myotis myotis
Lineage: Eukaryota; Metazoa; Chordata; Mammalia; Chiroptera; Vespertilionidae
Product: small Cajal body-specific RNA 6
Exons: 1
Source: RefSeq, a predicted model, not a curated record
GGUCAAUGAUGAUUGGUAAAAGGUCUGAUUGCACUUAGUGUCACAGUCCCUUCCUUGCCCUCAGCUCCCAGCAGCCCAUUUUUUCCUCCUAUCACAUUUAAGUCAUGUGCAUGGGAUAAUGGAGCAGCUGAUAAUUGGGAUUCUGUCAGUGUGUGUUUCUGAGAGUGGUCAGUUCACAGCUGACAACUAUCCAACAGAACCAGCCUUCAGGAGCGUGACGAGGGCAGCAUGGGUGUGAUGGUGCAUGAUCUCAAGUUUUCAAUCUGAGACC